Molecule: non-coding RNA, 2652 nt
Organism: Physcomitrium patens
Lineage: Eukaryota; Viridiplantae; Streptophyta; Bryopsida; Funariales; Funariaceae
Source: RefSeq, a predicted model, not a curated record
CUGACUGGUGUGUUAUUGACCGUUACAACUGACUUAAAGUCUCACCCAAGCCGUGUGUACUCUGAAAAAGCUGACUCUCAGAAAUCAAGUUCUAGGGGCUUGUGCCACUGCAUGAUCAAGUUUGGGUGACUUUUAUUCUGAUAAGUUGGCAUCCAGGCGUUCCAGUCAAUACCAGUCCCUAGUGCCAGCCUACGCCAAUUGAUUGGCGGUGAUGACUUCAAAUCCUAGUGAGAACCCAUUGUGUGAGAGCAUGAGAUGUUUACAUUGGAUUAUUGCACGGGAAUUCAGGGCCAUUAGUUUGAAAGCCUUGCUAACGAUAUGUGUGCUAUCACUUACUUUGAGUUGCAACCUACGAUCAGGUUUGUGGGUGGUAUUCUAUCGAUUUGUGUACAUGAACAAGUUUUCACAAUUCAAUUGUAACCCAUUCUAUCUAGAAUUUGUUAAAAAGAAAUUAAACCAACUGGCUCAAAAAUUACGUAGAACCCUAAACCCUAAACGAGAUCCAAAAGAAAUAUUUGACGAGACAGUACCUUCGCCUCGCUUAUAAGGUUGGUUUCGAAAGGAAAUCUUUCAUGGCUGAAUUUGUAAAUUACUAUUUGUUUAAGUCAAAGCUGCUGACAACUGUUUUAUUUUUGUAUUUUAACAAUCGCACAAACCGAGUCUUCUAGAAUGUCGUGAGGUUAAAGGAACGAGAUUGUAGUGGUGGAAAAAGUUAACAACAGACGCCAGAUUCGUGGGGAAUUGGAAGCAGAUACACUGAGCCUCCAAGAGUUUAUCGAUUUGCCAAGGUGAUAUGAUAGUGCAAGGGGAUGCAGUCCUUAUUCGCAACUUACGCUACUCAUGUGAAACCUCUAUUCAUUUUUGUGAUCCGGUUUUAUUGCUUGGAACAUCAGACUCUCCGAAGAGUAAUCCACUUCGAGUAACUGCUUUGCCAACUUCAGGUGUUGUUCGUCAGAUAGUGGCGAUGGCAGAGCCUGGUGGUGGCAUUAUUCCGCAGGUGGUGAGCGAAUAUAAAAUUGAUCCAGUCGUCGCAGAGAAUAUUCGCGCCGUUUACCCUGUAUAUAUACGUAAAGGAGGGAACAAAACCCAGAUUCCACAGAGCUCCGUUGCAACAAUCAUGCGAGGUGUAGGAUUUAACCCUUCAGAGGCGCAAAUUGAAGACAUAAUCACUGCUUGUAAAAUGAAAGAGGAAUCCCAAACUCAGAGAGGUUACUUCGAGUGUGACAAUUUUGAACAACAGGUCGCUGGAAUGAUGUUCAACAACCCGGGUUGCUUGAACCGGUUACCUAAGGAAAAAGUUUUGAAGGCCCUAAAUGUAUGUUCAAUCCAGAAAACAAGUUGGCAGCUCGACGCGUUGUGCCAUCACUUGAUAACAAUUUGGCUAGGAAGGGAAACUUUGGAACCAGAAGAGCUUAAGAGCAUGUUCAGGGAACGAGGUGAUAAGUUCACUGUGGACGAGGCGAGCAGCAUGGUGAGAGCGGCGCAAGACUCGGACACCAAAUUAAUAUACCUGGACGACUGGGCUGAGCUGCUGUCCAGCGACGGCAUUAUCGCCAUCCCGCCCUCGCCCAAUCCUCUCCCGCCCAUCAAGAUCGGCGAAGACGAAGAGUUUCCGUGACUCACUCCCGCCCCGAUUCACGUGGGGAUCGCGAUUCGAAUGAAUGCACUGUGACUGACACGUCGCGUUCUGUUUACAGAUGGAUGCAUGUAUGAGAUUGCAAAUGAAUGAACCGUUGGUGGAUGGCUGGAUGAAUAAAAUGGGAGUAUGGACAUGUAUGUGUGGAUAGAUGGGUGACGUAAUGUGUGGGAUGGUAGUGAGGAUGAGUAGUGAUUUUGAGGCGCACCAUGUUGUGAAUGUGAAGUCUUCGUAGCCAGACGAUGUGUUUUUGAGAGUGCAUGAAUUCUGCCAGCUUCAUCAAUGAAUCCGCAGCCUAUAUUUUUGAUUUUAGAGUAAUGUGCGGAUGGAUGGAUGGACUAGUGAACUUUAGUCAAUUGAAAAUGUCGCAAUUUAGGUGUUUUAGCAUAAUGUGAAAAAGUUCAAAAAAUAUAUAUAGUUUGUAGAUAUAAAUAACCAAAAUAAAUUAAACUGCCUUAUUUGCAGGUAAUAGUAUAAACACAUAGGUCACCAUUGAUGGCAGUGAUCAUAGACAUAAAGAAACGUGAUUCUUCAAAAACAUGAUUCUUCAAUACUUCAUAAUUAUUGUAACACAAAAAAUUUUAAAAAAUACUUUGAUAUCAUGUACACAACAAUAGACUGGCGGUAGAAUAUUCACUUUUCUUGAAUGAUAUGAUUUUACUUAAUUUUUUGGAAUUCCUCAUGCACAAAAUGUAAGCAAAGAUAUGAAAACACAAAAUUUUACAAAAACAGAAACAAAACAAAACAAAACAUAAACGUAUGUAUAAAAUAUGUAAAAAGUUUCGAUUACCAUAUGUUAAAAGUUAAUAUGUAAAAUGUUGAUCCAACUGAACGGUGCUAUACACACUGGCUGUUAAAAACCCUGCUCAUUUCAGCGAUCUGAAGCCUCCAGAGAAAUUCCUCCGCAGAAACUGUUUUGUACUCGAUGAACAGUCGUUGCAUGUGUGGAUGAAUAAGUGGGAGUAUGGAUAUAUAUGCGUGAAUGGAUGAAUGACGUAAUGUUAGGAUGGUAGUGA